This 200-nucleotide ribosomal RNA is filed under the name uncultured bacterium. RNAcentral's name for it is "partial 16S ribosomal RNA". It matches the Rfam family "Bacterial small subunit ribosomal RNA", at positions 29 to 256 of the family's 1533-position model. The record is from RNAcentral.
AGCGAACGCUGGCGGCAGGCCUAACACAUGCAAGUCGAACGGAUCCUUCGGGAUUAGUGGCGGACGGGUGAGUAACACAUGGGAACGUGCCUUUAGGUUCGGAACAACUCAGGGAAACUUGAGCUAAUACCGGAUGUGCCCUUCGGGGGAAAGAUUUAUCGCCUUUAGAGCGGCCCGCGUCUGAUUAGCUAGUUGGAGAG